GACGAACGCUGGCGGCGUGCUUAACACAUGCAAGUCGAACGGAAAGGCCCUGCACUUGUGGGGUGCUCGAGUGGCGAACGGGUGAGUAACACGCGAGUAACCUGCCCUUGACUUUGGGAUAACUUCAGGAAACUGGGGCUAAUACCGGGUAGGAGCACCUGCUGCAUGGGGGGGGUUGGAGAGAUUCGGCGGUUGGGGAUGGACUCGCGGUUUAUCAGGUUGUUGGCGGGGUAGUGGCGUACCAAGGCUUUGAUACGUAGCCGACUUGAGAGGGUGACCGGCCACCUUGGGACGGAGGCACGGCCCAAACUCCUAAUGGGGGCAGCAGUAGGGCAUCGGCGGCAAUGGACGAAAGUCUGACCGAGCAGCGCCGCGUGAGUGAAGAGGGUUUUCGGAUCGUAAAACUCUGUUGGUGGAGAAGAACGGUGGUGAGAGUGGAAAGAUCAUCAAGUGACGGUAACGACCCAGAAAGGGACGGCUAACUACGUG
RNAcentral lists this ribosomal RNA (489 nucleotides) under uncultured bacterium. RNAcentral describes it as "partial 16S ribosomal RNA". It matches the Rfam family "Bacterial small subunit ribosomal RNA", at positions 28 to 507 of the family's 1533-position model. The record is from RNAcentral.